RNAcentral lists this small nuclear RNA (265 nucleotides) under Jaculus jaculus (lesser Egyptian jerboa). RNAcentral's name for it is "7SK RNA (ENSJJAG00000005847.1)". It matches the Rfam family "7SK RNA". Rfam says of the family: 7SK was discovered as an abundant small nuclear RNA in the mid-70s but a possible function has only recently been suggested. The record is from Rfam by way of RNAcentral. Lineage: Eukaryota; Metazoa; Chordata; Mammalia; Rodentia; Dipodidae.
GGAUGUAAGGGUGAUUUGGCUGUGACAUCUGUCACUGCAUUGAUUGUUAAGGUUGGUCUGACUGAUCUGGCUGGCUAGGUGGGUGUCCCCUUCCUCUCUCACCAUUCCAUGUGCAUCCCCACACAGAAAAGGAGUAGUCUUCAGUCAAGGAUACAUGAGUAACUGUGCUCCCCUGCCAGAUCCUCCACAGGCUCUCAAGGAGUGUGUAUCUCUGCUAGGCCUAUGCCAGAGACCUCAGAACCCGAGACACUGUGACUCCGUUUCU